CGCAGGUGCAAGGAGCUGGCACCUGGGCACACACCUGGCCACACACCUGUGCAGAGCCGGUGGCAGGCCCUCCCGGCGCAGGAAUGGCGUGCCCCCAGCUGCCGCCACUUCUGCUUUUGGUGCUGGUGGUGCUGCUGAAAGCUGGUGUGAAUUACAAUACUCCCUUUACAGUUCCGAAUCCCUGACCCCGCACUGGAGCCCCACUUCCCACAGCCCCGGAACGGAGCCCUUGACCUCCACUGACCAGACCUUGGAGCCCCCUGGCCCAGCUCCAGGUGACACUGGGCCCCGUGAGUUACACAGGAACCCGAGUGUGGUGGUGGUCGUGUGUUUGCUGGUGUCUCUUUUGCUCAUCGGGUCUGUGGUCAUGGCUGUGAGAUUCUGUCACCGGAAUGAGUCCAAGUUUGAGAACCUGGACGAGGUGUCCAUGGGAUCCGUGAAUGACAGAUUGUCCUUUGCCCACCACCUCCAGGAGUGAGCCCUGAGGAGCCAACAGAGAUGGGGGCAUGGAUGGGGCUGGGGUUCCUGGGGAGGAGCAGAACCUGAGGAAAUAAAGCCCCUACCAUUCAUCCAAGGCCUCGUGUGAAAACACGAGUUAUGGACUCGUGUGAAAACAUUAACUGAGCACCUACUAUGUGCUGGGCUCUGUGCUGGGGUCACAGUGGGGACCAUGUCUUUACUUUCAGGGGAUCCACAGACUCAAGGCAGGGACAGAUAAGAAUCAGGAGCUCACUUGGCUGGGUGCGGUGGUUCACACCUGUAAUCCCAGCACUUUGGGAGGCCAAGGCGGGCAGAUCUCCUGAGCUUAGGAGUUUGAGACCAGCCUGGCUAACAUGGCGAAACUCUGUCUGUACUAAAAAUACAAAAAUUAGCUGAGCGUGGUGGCAGGUGCCUGUAAUCCCAGCUACUCAGGAGGCUGAGGCAGAGAAUCGCUUGAACCAGGGAGGCGGAGGUUGCAGUGAGCUGAGAUCGCCCCAUUGUACUCCAGCCUGGGCAACAGAGCAAGACUCCAUCUCAAAAAAAAAAAAAAUAGGGCCAGGCGUAGUGGCUUACACCUGUAAUCCCAGCACUUUGGAAGGCAAAGGUGGGUGGAUCAUUUGAGAUCGGGAGUUCGAGACCAGCCUGGUCAACAUGGUGAAACCC
This 1143-nucleotide long non-coding RNA is filed under the name Homo sapiens (human). RNAcentral describes it as "HSALNT0396473". Lineage: Eukaryota; Metazoa; Chordata; Mammalia; Primates; Hominidae. The record is from RNAcentral.